AACGAACGCUGGCGGCAUGCCUAACACAUGCAAGACGAACGAGACCUUCGGGUCUAGUGGCGCACGGGUGCGUAACGCGUGGGAACCUGCCUUUAGGUUCGGAAUAACUCAGAGAAAUUUGAGCUAAUACCGGAUGAUGUCUUCGGACCAAAGAUUUAUCGCCUUUAGAUGGGCCCGCGUUGGAUUAGCUAGUUGGUGGGGUAAAGGCCUACCAAGGCGACGAUCCAUAGCUGGUCUGAGAGGAUGAUCAGCCACACUGGGACUGAGACACGGCCCAGACUCCUACGGGAGGCAGCAGUGGGGAAUAUUGGACAAUGGGCGAAAGCCUGAUCCAGCAAUGCCGCGUGAGUGAUGAAGGCCUUAGGGUUGUAAAGCUCUUUUACCCGAGAUGAUAAUGACAGUAUCGGGAGAAUAAGCUCCGGCUAACUCCGUG
Molecule: ribosomal RNA, 433 nt
Filed under: uncultured bacterium
Lineage: Bacteria
Description: partial 16S ribosomal RNA
Rfam family: Bacterial small subunit ribosomal RNA
Source: RNAcentral